Molecule: ribosomal RNA, 443 nt
Filed under: uncultured bacterium
Lineage: Bacteria
Description: partial 16S ribosomal RNA
Rfam family: Bacterial small subunit ribosomal RNA
Source: RNAcentral
CCUACGGGUGGCUGCAGUGGGGAAUAUUGGGCAAUGGGCGCAAGCCUGACCCAGCAACGCCGCGUGAAGGAAGAAGGCUUUCGGGUUGUAAACUUCUUUUAUCAGGGACGAAGAAAGUGACGGUACCUGAAAAAGAAGCUCCGGCUAAAUACGUGCCAGCAGCCGCGGUAAUACGUAUGGAGCAAGCGUUAUCCGGAUUUACUGGGUGUAAAGGGAGAGUAGGUGGCAGAGCAAGUCCGAAGUGAAAACCCAAAGCUCAACUAUGGGAAUGCUUUAGAAACUGCUCAGCUAGAGUGCAGGAGAGGCAAGUGGAAUGCUUAGUGUAGCGGUGAAAUGCGUAGAUAUUAGGAGGAACACCAGUGGCGAAGGCGGCUUGCUGGACUGUAACUGACACUGAGGCUCGAAAGCGUGGGGAGCAAACAGGAUUAGAUACCCCAGUAGUC